Molecule: long non-coding RNA, 949 nt
Organism: Zalophus californianus (California sea lion)
Lineage: Eukaryota; Metazoa; Chordata; Mammalia; Carnivora; Otariidae
Exons: 3
Source: RefSeq, a predicted model, not a curated record
GGGAGUAAAAGCGGGUUAUCAUCGCUGUACCCAGUGGUCUGACAGAGCAAACAGAAGAGCUCCGUGAGGUGAGGAGAGGUGAAGAGAAAAUUAGCAAGACUCAAAUGGGAUAAUUGGAAAAGCAGAGGGAAGGCAGUAAAUUAUGCCUCUUUGGCCUGGUUUAGUUAUCAUAUCGCAAGAAUGGAUGAAGUGGGUCAGCGACCCGCAGAUGAAAAGCAAGAUGAGGAAGGGUCUCGGGGUGAAGGGAGGCCUGAGCUCUGAGCGCCCCGCCGAGGGCCAGCCCACACGUGCCGCUGGAGCACCACGCUCGGAAAGACAAACAGGAUGCGGUCCUGGUCAUUCUACCAUCUAGAAAUUUUGCAACCUAGAGAACUACCAAGAAAGAAAUUCAUCUGGAUGUUAUAUCAGCCUUCAUGUGAAUUCUCUACAAAACUGAGAUGAAAUCUUACGUUCACUAAGUGGAAGGUGACAUAAUAAAUGCUGGUCAUGUAGGUUCUUUUCCUCCCUCCAGCUGGAAUGCCCAGGUCUGACCACACAACACUCCAUCAAGGUGUUUGAACUGAAGCGUGCAAAUCGAAUUGGAAAAUUAUUCAUGAGAGAGCAAAGAGAUGGCGACCAAGCAAAGGGACAAAAAUGAAUAACUUUCACUUUGGAGUAGAGGAUAGUAAGACCUGUGUGCCACUUCAGGCUCAACCUCUGUAACCCAACAUAUUUUCAUCUCAAUGCAUUUAACAAAUUAUUCCUCGCAGUACCUUUGGGUGGGCUACUGACUAUGAUUCUGUACCUACAAUUUGUUUUCUCUGCUGCAAAACAGACUUGAAUGCUAAUAAGCGAACCAAUUUUUAAAAAGCCUUAUCCUGGGGCGCCUGGGUGGCUCAGUCGUUAAGUGUCUGCCUUCGGCUUGGGUCAUGAUGAGCCCCGCAUCGGACUCCCCGCUCAGAGGGAAGCC